Non-coding RNA from Acanthosepion pharaonis, 114 nucleotides. The record is from the annotation of a GenBank genome assembly. Lineage: Eukaryota; Metazoa; Mollusca; Cephalopoda; Sepiida; Sepiidae.
UUGCGGCCAUAUCACGUUGAAACACCGGUUCUCAUCCGAUCACCGAAGUUAAGCAAUCUUGACGCUGGUCUGUACUCUGAUUGGUAACCGCUAAGGAAUACCAGGUGCUGUAAG